Lolium rigidum is the source of this 2816-nucleotide long non-coding RNA. RefSeq lists it as uncharacterized. The transcript is spliced from 2 exons. Lineage: Eukaryota; Viridiplantae; Streptophyta; Magnoliopsida; Poales; Poaceae. The record is from RefSeq and is a predicted model, not a curated record.
GAAUAAAUAGAUCUGAAUGUGUUCUUUUGAAUGGAUUGUGCGUGCAAACUGGCGUGAUUGACGGAGGGUCCACAUCAGAUGUUUUGAUGCCAAGCAUCAGUCUCGCUAUAUCAUCCAAGGAUAUUUUGGCAUGCUGCACUUUCAUUCGCCAGGGUGUUAAAUCAAUCAUUUGCUUAUGAUACAGUAUAACUCAAGAAUUACCUAAUGUGCUGUAUAGUUAGUUAUCAUAUGCUUUAUUAUUUAAUAAGAGCUACCUUGAAGAAAUCAUAACCUAAAAGCCCUGUUAAAAAUUGGCCAGUUAACUGAUUAGUCCCUGCUCAGAGGGCCACUGAUCAGCCGAUUGCAGCUACAAGAGGUGAGUUUGAUUUCGUUCUCACUUAGUUGGAUGCCUUUUCUGAUUCACUGGAAAGUAAUUAUAGAGAGAAAUUGCGGACAUUUAUUUCUCAUGUUCAUCGUUCAGUUCAUGUGCCUGCUCUGGACUUCCAAGUCAGCGAGUUCAGUUGAACUUGAAAAUCAUGGUAGCUGUUACUUAAUAAUUCAGUUCAUACUCAAUGUGGUUUGAUAAGAUCGAUCCAUUCUGAUAACAUUAGCAAGAUAGGUUUGUACAUCGUUUGAGACCAAUUAAUUGGUAGUCAUGUUAUUCAGUCAAUUGGAAGAUUCUGAUUCAGUGUUACUUGAUUUUUGCAGAUAUCUCUGUUUGUUGCUUGAGUAGCCUUUGUUUUUUACUUAAGGUGACAUAGGAUGUGCCAAAGCUUAGGUGAACUGAUUGCAUCAUGUAUUUAAAGAACUUGACGGAGUCUUCAUAAAUAUUGGUAAAUUGAACUAAAACCAUGUCUUAUUUCUGGAGACAUUAACAACUAUCACAGGGAAGGUGGUCUUGCUAAUGUGCAGAUUUUUUAAAAGAGUACAAAAUUUGUAACCUGCAUUUUCCGGUGAUUCCAUUUUCUUUGUUCUCUGGAAUUUGCAAAAAAAGUAGCAGAUACCCUGGGUUCCACUAAUUAGUGUUGGGGGUGCAAAAGGGAUGGCUAAUUAAGCUAUAUUUUGAAGUGUUUCCUCGGUAGUAUUUCAGUAUGCUCUUGGUUCCAUGCGUGUUACAUCAUAUAACCAGUGCUGAGAUGAUGAAAAAGUGUGAUUUCUUUGUAAUCUUACCUAUCUGCUUAGUCCAUUUCACUAUGUAAAAUAUAUGACAUGCUUGACAAAACACGUCUAUCUAUUUGUAUCUACAAUUAUUCAUUUGAUUCUGCGAGUAUGUCUGGUAAAAUUUCUCUGUUACAUGGAGAAUACUUCCAGUUUCAUUAUAAUAAUAGUUGGAACAAUUCCUAUGAAUUAAAUGUUUACAUUUUGUUAGUUCAUCUGAAUAUUAAAAGUUAAGUGUUGCCAAUUUGCAUUGUGGAUGCUCUAAAUGCACUUCAGAGUACACUUUUUAUGCAGCCCACAUGCAUCUGACAAUAUUACAUAUGGUCCUGAGUUAUGCGAAUUUUGCAUUUUUUUGAGUGAAGGAGGUAUUGAUAGCUAGCAGUCGCAGAGCCCAACGGAAGGGGGUGUCAUGCCCGCCUAUGCAGGUCGCCCUGCUGCCUACAGUGGUAGGGCUGGCUGAUCAAGUGCUUCGGCCUGUUGAAGCUAAGUGCUCCUUCAGGAUAUUAUUGACACAUACAUAUUUCUACAUGAUCUUUAAAAAAUGAUAAGACAUGAGGCAUAUAGCUAUUUAAGGAGUUAUUUUUUCCGACGCUGGAAACCUGUAGCUAUUUCCUGUUCUCUAUAUGUUUUGUCAGCAAGUUUGUGGAUUUAAUUCUUGAAUAAUAUAGCUAUCAGAGAUAAAUAAGAGUUUGUUCAUAUGUUGCCAACAUGUUGUUUGUCGCCGGAGACUAUUAAAAGUAGUUAGACCCUUGGAAGUGUGAGUUGAAUAACUUUUUGAAUGCUAUGUUUUAAAAGCCGUUGGUGCGUUAUUUAUGAAGAAUUAGCUAGAUCACCGAUAUGCCCAUUUGAUUACAAUUUACAGAUCAGCUGUGGCAAACAAGCUCAACAUGGGGCUAAUCGGCUGAGCUUGCUCCACGGGCCUCUGUUUUCGGUCGGCAGCUAAGAUAUAUCCUACUAGAUGAGAAGGCUAUCUUCUUGGAAAAUGGUGGCCUGAUACCUUGGUGUUUGCCUGCCGCUUAAAGGCACAACCAGUGGAAAUGGCUUUACGGGAGGUUGGUUUGGGAGGGCAAUUUUCCCACAUUUUUGACAGUUCCUGCCAACCGGGCAAGGUUGACAUGUGCUUCUACCCUAACAGGGACAUGAUAAUCAUGAUAGGUGAAUGCGCGCGGUCUCAUGUGAGCUAAGAUGUUUAGGUCUGUCCCCACAUGCAUACAAAUGCUCUUAAGCAUGUUUAGGAUAUUGCUAAGGAUGGUACUCAAUCUGAGUUGAACUUAUGCACGUGUCUAGGAAUUUCCCAACAGCUACCAGUUUGCGGGCACCAUCAAGAGCAAGAACAUGCAGAUUGGCGAAGUCUUCCCAUCCCAUCUUUGCCUUUGCACUUGGAAAUAAGCUGACACAAGCCAUUGAUGCGUAGCGCCAGCACACAUACCUUUGUCUAGGAGAAGCAUCCCUAGAUAUGACAAGAGCAUACUAUGAGUUUACCUCGAUGGCACGCGGCUCUAGCAUUGUAGCCUCAUGUUGAUGUUAAUCUUGUGACUAAUGAAUUUUCUGAGUUGAGUGCAAUUUUAUGUGUCUUAUGGGCACCUUGUUGCAUAUUGAUCAGUGGUGAACCGGUGAUUGCAAUUGUAUGCUCAUACUUUACAAACUUUAUUAGCUAAAAUAAAUGAUUUUCCUAUGAA